Molecule: ribosomal RNA, 1372 nt
Filed under: uncultured bacterium
Lineage: Bacteria
Description: bacterial SSU rRNA
Rfam family: Bacterial small subunit ribosomal RNA
Source: RNAcentral
GAUGAACGCUGGCGGCGUGCCUAAUACAUGCAAGUCGAGCGAACGGACGAGGAGCUUGCUUCUCUGAUGUUAGCGGCGGACGGGUGAGUAACACGUGGAUAACCUACCUAUAAGACUGGGAUAACUUCGGGAAACCGGAGCUAAUACCGGAUAAUAUUUUGAACCGCAUGGUUCAAAAGUGAAAGACGGUCUUGCUGUCACUUAUAGAUGGAUCCGCGCUGCAUUAGCUAGUUGGUAAGGUAACGGCUUACCAAGGCAACGAUGCAUAGCCGACCUGAGAGGGUGAUCGGCCACACUGGAACUGAGACACGGUCCAGACUCCUACGGGAGGCAGCAGUAGGGAAUCUUCCGCAAUGGGCGAAAGCCUGACGGAGCAACGCCGCGUGAGUGAUGAAGGUCUUCGGAUCGUAAAACUCUGUUAUUAGGGAAGAACAUAUGUGUAAGUAACUGUGCACAUCUUGACGGUACCUAAUCAGAAAGCCACGGCUAACUACGUGCCAGCAGCCGCGGUAAUACGUAGGUGGCAAGCGUUAUCCGGAAUUAUUGGGCGUAAAGCGCGCGUAGGCGGUUUUUUAAGUCUGAUGUGAAAGUCCACGGCUCAACCGUGGAGGGUCAUUGGAAACUGGAAAACUUGAGUGCAGAAGAGGAAAGUGGAAUUCCAUGUGUAGCGGUGAAAUGCGCAGAGAUAUGGAGGAACACCAGUGGCGAAGGCGACUUUCUGGUCUGUAACUGACGCUGAUGUGCGAAAGCGUGGGGAUCAAACAGGAUUAGAUACCCUGGUAGUCCACGCCGUAAACGAUGAGUGCUAAGUGUUAGGGGGUUUCCGCCCCUUAGUGCUGCAGCUAACGCAUUAAGCACUCCGCCUGGGGAGUACGACCGCAAGGUUGAAACUCAAAGGAAUUGACGGGGACCCGCACAAGCGGUGGAGCAUGUGGUUUAAUUCGAAGCAACGCGAAGAACCUUACCAAAUCUUGACAUCCUUUGACAACUCUAGAGAUAGAGCCUUCCCCUUCGGGGGACAAAGUGACAGGUGGUGCAUGGUUGUCGUCAGCUCGUGUCGUGAGAUGUUGGGUUAAGUCCCGCAACGAGCGCAACCCUUAAGCUUAGUUGCCAUCAUUAAGUUGGGCACUCUAAGUUGACUGCCGGUGACAAACCGGAGGAAGGUGGGGAUGACGUCAAAUCAUCAUGCCCCUUAUGAUUUGGGCUACACACGUGCUACAAUGGACAAUACAAAGGGCAGCGAAACCGCGAGGUCAAGCAAAUCCCAUAAAGUUGUUCUCAGUUCGGAUUGUAGUCUGCAACUCGACUACAUGAAGCUGGAAUCGCUAGUAAUCGUAGAUCAGCAUGCUACGGUGAAUACGUUCCCGGGUCU